UGGGGAAUUUUGGACAAUGGGCGCAAGCCUGAUCCAGCCAUGCCGCGUGCGGGAAGAAGGCCUUCGGGUUGUAAACCGCUUUUGUCAGGGAAGAAACGCUCUGGGCUAAUACCCCGGGGUAAUGACGGUACCUGAAGAAUAAGCACCGGCUAACUACGUGCCAGCAGCCGCGGUAAUACGUAGGGUGCAAGCGUUAAUCGGAAUUACUGGGCGUAAAGCGUGCGCAGGCGGUUAUGCAAGACAGAUGUGAAAUCCCCGGGCUUAACCUGGGAACUGCAUUUGUGACUGCAUGGCUAGAGUGCGGCAGAGGGGGAUGGAAUUCCGCGUGUAGCAGUGAAAUGCGUAGAUAUGCGGAGGAACACCGAUGGCGAAGGCAAUCCCCUGGGCCUGCACUGACGCUCAUGCACGAAAGCGUGGGGAGCAAACAGG
Molecule: ribosomal RNA, 429 nt
Filed under: uncultured Burkholderiales bacterium
Lineage: Bacteria; Pseudomonadati; Pseudomonadota; Betaproteobacteria; Burkholderiales
Description: bacterial SSU rRNA
Rfam family: Bacterial small subunit ribosomal RNA
Source: RNAcentral